UUCGCUUUUACCUGGCGAUCUGCUAAACACAUCCGCGCGUAGGUCCGGACUGCAACCGGGCCCUCUCUUCACAAGAGUGUCCCUGCGCG
This 89-nucleotide small RNA is filed under the name Synechococcus sp. CC9902. RNAcentral's name for it is "ATPC RNA motif". It matches the Rfam family "ATPC RNA motif". Lineage: Bacteria; Bacillati; Cyanobacteriota; Cyanophyceae; Synechococcales; Synechococcaceae. The record is from Rfam by way of RNAcentral.